RNAcentral lists this ribosomal RNA (801 nucleotides) under uncultured Pelagibacteraceae bacterium. Its description in RNAcentral is "bacterial SSU rRNA". It matches the Rfam family "Bacterial small subunit ribosomal RNA", at positions 35 to 884 of the family's 1533-position model. Lineage: Bacteria; Pseudomonadati; Pseudomonadota; Alphaproteobacteria; Candidatus Pelagibacterales; Candidatus Pelagibacteraceae. The record is from RNAcentral.
GCUGGCGGCACGCCUAACACAUGCAAGUCGAACGAAGUAGCAAUACUUAGUGGCAGACGGGUGAGUAACAUGUAGGUAUCUGCCCUUUGGCCUGGAAUAACACGAGGAAACUUGUGCUAAUACCGGAUAAGUCUUUACGGAGAAAGCUUUAUGCACCAUUGGAUGAGCCUGCACUUGAUUAGUUUGUUGGUGGGGUAAUGGCCUACCAAGACUGUGAUCAAUAGCUGAUUUGAGAGGAUGAUCAGCCACAUUGGGACUGAGACACGGCCCAAACUCCUACGGGAGGCAGCAGUGGGGAAUCUUGCACAAUGGAGGAAACUCUGAUGCAGCGAUGCCGCGUGAGUGAAGAAGGCCCUUGGGUUGUAAAGCUCUUUCGUCGGGGAAGAAAAUGACUGUACCCGAAUAAGAAGGUCCGGCUAACUUCGUGCCAGCAGCCGCGGUAAUACGAAGGGACCUAGCGUAGUUCGGAAUUACUGGGCUUAAAGAGUUCGUAGGUGGUUGAAAAAGUUAGUGGUGAAAUCCCAGAGCUUAACUCUGGAACUGCCAUUAAAACUUUUCAGCUAGAGUAUGAUAGAGGAAAGCAGAAUUUCUAGUGUAGAGGUGAAAUUCGUAGAUAUUAGAAAGAAUACCAAUUGCGAAGGCAGCUUUCUGGAUCAUUACUGACACUGAGGAACGAAAGCAUGGGUAGCGAAGAGGAUUAGAUACCCUCGUAGUCCAUGCCGUAAACGAUGUGUGUUAGACGUUGGAAAUUUAUUUUCAGUGUCGCAGGGAAACCGAUAAACACACCGCCUGGGGAGUACG